UACGUAGGGUGCAAGCGUUAUCCGGAAUCACUGGGCGUAAAGCGUCUGUAGGUGGUUUUAAUAAGUCAACUGUUAAAUCUUGAGGCUCAACCUCAAAAUCGCAGUCGAAACUAUUAGGCUAGAGUAUAGUAGGGGUAAAGGGAAUUUCCAGUGGAGCGGUGAAAUGCGUAGAGAUUGGAAAGAACACCGAUGGCGAAGGCACUUUACUGGGCUAUUACUAACACUCAGAGACGAAAGCUAGGGUAGCAAAUGGG
This 254-nucleotide ribosomal RNA is filed under the name uncultured bacterium. RNAcentral's name for it is "partial 16S ribosomal RNA". It matches the Rfam family "Bacterial small subunit ribosomal RNA", at positions 524 to 776 of the family's 1533-position model. The record is from RNAcentral.